Molecule: long non-coding RNA, 501 nt
Organism: Oncorhynchus kisutch (coho salmon)
Lineage: Eukaryota; Metazoa; Chordata; Actinopteri; Salmoniformes; Salmonidae
Exons: 2
Source: RefSeq, a predicted model, not a curated record
CAUUUGGGGGUUGAUUAUUGUUACAAUGUCAGUUGGUGCGUUUGAGUACCUACCUGUGUGUGUUUUGGGCUUUCGUGCCCUUGUGGAUUGCGCAGAUGAUUACGGGUCUCGUCCCAUGUGUUAAUCAUUGUGCGCAGAUUUAUUUAUUCAAGAAUAAUCGACCAUUAAGGGAGACAGCGGGAAUGUCCCGUCCGACAAUACUGCGACUGGUCCGUCUGGCGUUGCUGCAACUUCGGCAGCUACAACUGGCCCGUCCGACGAUGCUGCAACUAGUUUGUCCGGCGCCACUGCUACUGGUCCGUCCGAUGCCGCCGCAACUUUGGCAGCAGCAACUGGCCCGUCCGACGCAACUUCAGCAGCUGCAUCGGGUCCUGAUCGACCUGCACUGCAUUCCUGUGAUUGUCCUCGAAGCCGGUGUCGUUGCUCUGCUGUCACGGAUCCCCCCCGUGCCUUUACACGGCACGCAGUAAUUUGUGCUUAAUAAUAAAAACUAUUACGCAU